UAUGGCGGCGUGUGACGAUUUGAAGUGAUUCUUUGCUCAUUUUUAUUUUCAAUAUUAAUAAGGUGUUUUGUUCAAUAAAUAUUUGUACAAUCGAGUGAAACAUGUGUUAUGUGAUUCUUAACAAUUUCGUGUGAUUGAAAACUUGAUAUCAUGCGAUAUAAAAUGAAAAAUAGGAUGUAAAAUUCAUUCGCGUCGUUUCAAGAUAUCUUUUUUAUCGUGUGUGGAACACGUUCUCUGUUUUAAAAUUCCUAUUCUACGAAUGUGAAAUGAAUACACGAUAAAAUGAAAACAAGAAAGAUUACACGUGCAAUAAGGAACGAGAAAGAGGAAGAAGGAUCAUAAACAGAGCCGCGGAAAGGGAACAGAGGCUCGGAAAAUAAGCUGAGAACCCAUUCAAAUCCAACAACAACGCAAGAAACGCAAACGAAACAAGGGAGAAAUGUAUCGAACCUAAGAGGCAAGAAAUAUGUACCAAUCUAUCAGGGAAGCAAAAAAUUGGAACGCGACCAAGAAUUAGCAAGAACAGAGCAGACGAGAAAGCGGAAGAAAAUUCGUGGGAAGAAAGGGGAGAGAGGAGCGGUUCUGUCGCGCGAGUUUUUAUGCGGUUGGCGCGAUGGAGAAUUCGAGUCGAGAAUUUUUAACGCUUUUUUGAAUGUCGAUGGCAUAUUGUGGCGUGAACACGAUUUGCUUUUAUGGAAUAAUAUAUACGAUCGAAAUGCACGUAAUAUAGAUGAAUUUCUACGACUACACUUCUUGUCUCGAUUAUAAAUUAACACGUGAUAUUCAUUUUAUCAAAUUUUAUUCAAUAUUAAAUGUAUCAUUUCAAAACAUAUAAAAAUUCUAAAUCAGAUCCAAAGAGAUACAAAGACGAAGAAACAUCGUAUGAAUCGAGAAGAGAGCACCGAAUUAAUUCCACCCCUUUAUCAACAUCCUCGAAGAAACAAUAAGCGCGAGAAUUUAAUCGCACAUCGGUGAACAACGAUUCUUCGAUGUUCUACGGGAAGAGGGAAUGGACGUUGAAUUAACUUCACCCUGAAGAGAGAAAGAGAGGAAAUCAAAAUCUCGGCACGAAGAUCCUUGAAAGACACUCGGCCGUUAACGCCUCUCGGAACUCCGACAGUCGACAGUCCGAAGAAACAUCGCGGAAGUCCGAGAUCCUGCUUAAAACUUUCCCUUCUGCUUCGAGAACCGGAUCGGGGAAUUUCCAUUGGGGGUUGAAUUUUUCAUCGGGAACAAAAGGAUCUGGUCUCCCCGGGUUUAACGAAUUAGCGGAUUUUCGUUGUCCAAUCUCCGCGUCUCGGGCCGGAAAUGUUACGUGAGCCGCCGAAUUAUCCACGUUCGAAUGCCGUAAUUAUCAAUUAGCAUGCGUAUCGAUAUCGUGUUGCAGCAAAUAAUCCAAAAUGAAUUUAAUCAGCGAAAUGACGAGGCGUGGAAGAUGGCAAGGAGGGAAGGGAUUUAUGAAUGUUCGAUCGAUAAGAUUUUCGAAGAAACAAGCUUUCGAGAUUGAAAUCAGUCCUCGAAUUUCAUCAUUAUCGAUACCAAGAAAAUAAAAAAUUCAUCAAGUAUGAAAUUAUCUACGACUUUAUAAAUACAACAUAUUUGCUACCUCGUUUUUCUCAUUUCAUUUCUUUAUUCUUUUUGCCGAUUUAAUUAAGACGUCUUGCAAAAUGAAAACACAUUUUUCAGUCAAAGCAAAAAUCUUUUAAUUACUACAUCUUUUAAACGAUGUUUGAUCCAUCGUAAAGAUAUGUUCUUGAAGAGGAAUCUCGUUUAAAUAUCUCCGGAUACCAUUACUUUUUUUUUUCCUUAUUAAAAAUUACAAGGGAAAUGCGUAUUUUCUUAUUAUUUAUUUAUCAUUUAAUUUAAAAUUUAUUAUUUUGUCCUUCUUCGUAACGUAUUAUGAAAUUUUAUUUGUGAAAAGAAGAAAAUGUGAAAAUUUUUAAGGUCGAGUUUACUAUCUUCUCCGUAUAUUUCUCGCGGAAUUAUUCUAAAAUUAUUCUUGGUGUACUUUGUUAUGUUUUAUAUACGAAUGAAACCACGUCGAAAUUAGAAUAUUUUUAUAAAAAAUUGGACAAGAACCUUUUUUAAAAAUUUAAAGAUAAUAUUUUCAAUGCUGAGUUUUCCCCUUGCAAAACUUUUGAUAUUUUUAUUCCAAUAUCUAAUAUUAUCGAAUAACAAUUCGUUGAUUGAUAAAUAUUAAUGAAAAAUCGAAUAAAUCACAAAUUAUUUACAUCAAAUAGAACAAUCAUUAUAAAAUAUACAAAAAUUUAUAAGUAAAAAACUAAUUUACUUUGCCAAACUAUUCAACUUAUUAAAUUUCGCUAAUAAUAUUAUCCCAAUUAUCCCAAGAGGACUUUGAAAUUCUAAUACAUUCAAAAUUCCAUUGAAAUUUCAACUUACGAUAUCCUAUUUACAUCUACAACAUUUAUUGAACCCACAUAGGCACAAUUUAUAGUGUCAAAUCAUUAUCCAUGAAACGCCAUUCAAUUCUUCAACCCCUCUCCAAAGAUCCGCUGGUACCACGAUUAUGUGGGUCCUUUUCAUUAACAGGCCACGUGCAAUCCCUUCUUGGAAAAGAAUAGAAGAAAUCGAACGAGAGUCACAUGAUUGUGGGUUAUGAAAUUCGCAUGUCACACUUACAAAUUAAAAAAAACAGCUGUCUACCAUUACUUCAACCCUCGUACACGAAUCUCCAUUCUAUAUUGUAUACAUCAUAAUACACUUUAUUAAGGAAGGAAGACACUGUAUCAACGCAUUCUGAUCUCGAGCACCUCGUAAUUGCUAUUUACGACAAUCAAUCAUCUUCUUUUCUAUACUCGAUCUCCGUCUUAAUUCCACAGACUAAGAAUAACAAUCUAUUUUGCUUUUUCCUCUUUCUCUUCAUCUUUGCUCAAUUUUGUUUCGUAUCAAUUAGAUUUUCUCUCCUACUAAAUCGAAUUUUUCUGCGAUGAUAAAUUAAAGAAAAUAGGUAUUAAGAUUUUUUUUUUUUUAAAUGGAAUCGAUAAAUCGAGCCAUCUUUCAGAUAUCGAUAUUCGAAGUAUCUAUAUAUACGUGUUCAUAUUAAAACCGAGAAACUUCCAACCAUUUCCAUUAAGAGACCCCGUUUCGUUUUCAUCGAAAUCGAGGCGAGAUUAAUCCCGCCGAUUAUUGUGUACCAAAUGGAUAUUACAUCGAGCAGGAAUAUUUAACUUAUUCAGAAUGUUCCUACAGCUCGAUGAACUUAAUUUAUUAAACGAUGGGUGGCAUCGACGCGAGAUACUUUCACGGAGACUUAUCGUCGCGGAUUAAAAAAAGAAAAAAAGCGAUACGGGAUAAUCCGAAAUAAUGGAUUAAUCGUGCUAAGUGAACGUAAACUCGAAACCUGCUCAUUUCUCGAGGAACCAUCUUCGAAAUGCGAUUAGUUCGUGAUGGAGAACUAUAAAAAACUUCAAUCGACGAAAAGAAUUUUUUAUGAUGAAAUUUAAGAUCGAGUGAUAAUAGGAAGAGAGAGAGAAAGAAAAUUUAAGAUUUAUUGGUCGAAUUUUUCCAAAGAUAUUGGAAAGCUAUAAAUCUUGAAAUUUGAAUUAAGAUAUUCGAUAGAUUAAUAAAAAAUUUUAUAUAAUAUAUAAAUAGAAAAAAGAAGUGAUAAAGAGAAGAGCAAAAGCAAAAGAGAGAAAAAAAAGAUUAGUGAUUUCUAAAUCACACUGAAGAUCACAUCAUCAAAGAGUGCUCGAGAUCUCUUGCCAAGAUUGACCUCGUGACAUAGGCUGCGUCAUAAUCCACUCUGGUUCUAAUCGUGGCGAUUUCGCGAAGAAGACUGUACUUGACACCCAGCUCGACAAAUUAAUUAUGCAUUCUAUCAAGAGGAGCAAGAAAGCAAGCGAACGAGCGGAGAAUGGCGAAUUGGAGGAAGAGGGAAAAGGAGGACAAAGAAAAAAAGGAAAAUAAAAAGAAGCUGUCGAAAGGAUCCGAAGUUGGUUUUCAACGCUUCUUUUGCGGUUGAAAAUCGUGUUAUUCGAAGAAGUUAAACGAGGAUGAAUAACAUUUUAAUUGCCUCGAUCAAAUUAGACGUUUGCUCAACGUAGCGAGUUGAACGGUAAAAGUGGUGUGUGUGGUGUUCGAGUUUAUGGUGUUGUGUUGCGUGUUUAAAUUUUCUGCGGAGAAUGCAUGUUUAUGGAACUAUUUUGGUUUGGCUGGCUUCAACUGGUUAAUUUGGGUAAAAUGGAGGAAUUUUACGAGGAUGCAUAAGUUAGUAGGUGUUGGAGAAUUUAUGCGUUCUGAAAGCCGCAUUAAUUAAGAAACAGCAAGGGGUUCCUUACGUGAUGUGGACCAGCGCAAAGAUGAAACAGCCCGGUGUUUUCAAUCAAAAACAAAUCAUCCCGAGAAGGCGUAAUUAAAUUUGAAAUAACUGAAGGGCGCAGAGCCACUUAUAUGCGGCCAUGGUUGAAUUUGAAUGCGAUGCACGAGUCUUGAAACGUGACUUGUUUGCGGGGAAAGUAUUCCAUGGCGCCGGAAGUUAAUUACAGCGUUAAGGGACAUUCUUUGUAAAUCGGAUCAAAGCUCGAAUUCGGUAAUCCAAAAGUUGCGG
Long non-coding RNA from Apis mellifera (honey bee), 4567 nucleotides. RefSeq lists it as uncharacterized. Lineage: Eukaryota; Metazoa; Arthropoda; Insecta; Hymenoptera; Apidae. The transcript has 6 exons. The record is from RefSeq and is a predicted model, not a curated record.